GACGAACGCUGGCGGCGUGCUUAACACAUGCAAGUCGAACGGAAAGGCCCUGCUUUUGUGGGGUGCUCGAGUGGCGAACGGGUGAGUAACACGUGAGUAACCUGCCCUUGACUUUGGGAUAACUUCAGGAAACUGGGGCUACUACCGGAUAGGAGCUCCUGCUGCAUGGUGGGGGUUGGAAAGUUUCGGCGGUUGGGGAUGGACUCGCGGCUUAUCAGCUUGUUGGUGGGGUAGUGGCUUACCAAGGCUUUGACGGGUCGCCGGCCUGAGAGGGUGACCGGCCACAUUGGGACUGAGAUACGGCCCAGACUCCUACGGGAGGCAGCAGUGGGGAAUAUUGCACAAUGGGCGGAAGCCUGAUGCAGCAACGCCGCGUGCGGGAUGACGGCCUGCGGGGUGUAAACCGCUUUCGCCUGUGACGAAGCGUGAGUGACGGUAAUGGGUAAAGAAGCACCGGCUAACUACGUG
RNAcentral lists this ribosomal RNA (468 nucleotides) under uncultured bacterium. RNAcentral describes it as "partial 16S ribosomal RNA". It matches the Rfam family "Bacterial small subunit ribosomal RNA", at positions 28 to 507 of the family's 1533-position model. The record is from RNAcentral.